RNAcentral lists this ribosomal RNA (468 nucleotides) under uncultured bacterium. Its description in RNAcentral is "partial 16S ribosomal RNA". It matches the Rfam family "Bacterial small subunit ribosomal RNA", at positions 28 to 507 of the family's 1533-position model. The record is from RNAcentral.
GACGAACGCUGGCGGCGUGCUUAACACAUGCAAGUCGAACGGAAAGGCCCUGCUUUUGUGGGGUGCUCGAGUGGCGAACGGGUGAGUAACACGUGAGUAACCUGCCCUUGACUUUGGGAUAACUUCAGGAAACUGGGGCUAAUACCGGAUAGGAGCUCCUGCUGCAUGGUGGGGGUUGGAAAGUUUCGGCGGUUGGGGAUGGACUCGCGGCUUAUCAGCUUGUUGGUGGGGUAGUGGCUUACCAAGGCUUUGACGGGUAGCCGGCCUGAGAGGGUGACCGGCCACAUUGGGAUGGAGAUACGGCCCAGACUCCUACGGGAGGCAGCAGUGGGGAAUAGUGCACAAUGGGCGGAAGCCUGAUGCAGCAACGCCGCGUGCGGGAUGACGGCCUUCGGGUUGUAAACCGCUUUCGCCUGUGACGAAGCGUGAGUGACGGUAAUGGGUAAAGAAGCACCGGCUAACUACGUG